AAACCAGUUCGAUAAUGGCGGUUAAAAACAGCUCUCUCCCACUGCCUUCAUUCCUGCUUUCCCUCUCUCUGUCUGACCCAACACAAAAUGGUGUUCCUAUUUCAUCUCACACAAUCCCAUUCCCCCCCUCUCUUUCAUCUCCAGAUUAACAGUACUUACACCUACAAUACCUCAAAUGCUAACCCUUUUUCCGUUUCCUUUUGCAAAUCAUCCUCUACACCCACCACAACCGCCACUGCCACUUCCCCCAACGGCCGCCCUCCCCCAACUAAAUUCACCUCUCUCGUAUCCCUCAAGCCCUACCUUCAGUCCGACUGGCGGCCAAUUCUAUCCGGCUGGGUCUGCAGCGCUGUCUCUGUCUACUCCCUCUCCAAAAUAGUCCCCCUGGUGGGAAAAUUUCCUUCUUUAUUGACCACUGCGAAUCCGAUGCACCUGAGAAAAGAGGGUUUGGUUUUGGGGGUUCUUGUUUUGGUUCGUAUUAUUGCGAGUUAUCUGCAGCAGGCGUUUUUGUGGGAGGCUGCAUUGAAUUGUGUUUAUAAGAUCAGGGUUUAUGUAUUUAACAGGGUUUUGCAAAGGGACUUGGGGUUCUUUGAAGGUGAGAAGGGGGUUUUGCCUGGGGAUAUUGCUUAUAGAAUAACGGCUGAGGCCUCGGAUGUUGGUGACACUGUUUAUUCUCUCUUGGAUACAAUUGUACCCAGCACUUUGCAGUUUGCUGCUAUGGCUACCCAGAUGGUAAUCACGAGCCCUACUUUCUCAUUAAUAUCUGCCCUGGCGAUUCCAUCAAUGGCGUUUAUAACUGGGUAUCUUGGAGAAACGCUUCGUGAAAUAUCCAACGAGGCACAUCUCAGUAUUGCUGCCCUCUCAGCAUAUCUGAAUGAGGUCUUUCCUUCAAUUCUUUUUGUGAAGGCAAACAACACAGAAUCCUGUGAAAUUGUCAAGUUUCAAUCAAUUGCUUCCACCCAACUAUCUGCAUAUUUGAGAAAAAAGAAAAUGAAGGCCUUCAUUCCCCAUAUAGUUCAAAUAAUGUAUUUUGGGCUGUUAUUUGCAUUUGGUGUUGCCUCGCUAGUAAUUUCAAGAGGAUCUUUCAAUUGUUCUGCCAUAUUUUCAUUCAUAACAUCCCUGGUUCUGUUGAUGCAGCCAAUUCAGGGUGUGGGGAAAGCAUAUAACGAGUUAAAAGAAGGAGAACCAGCUAUUGAGCGCUUGUUAAAUUUGACCAUGUUCAAAUCACAGGUGAUUGAGAAACCAGAUGCUGUUGAAUUAGGCCCUGUUACUGGAGAAGUGAAAUUUUGUGGCGUGUCUUUCAAAUAUGGAGAUGAUAUACCUUUUGUAUUGGAUGGAUUGAAUCUUCACAUUAAAGCUGGGGAGACAAUUGCCCUUGUAGGGCCAUCUGGAGGAGGGAAGACAACUCUUGCAAAACUUCUUCUUCGUCUAUAUGAUCCUCUUUUUGGUUCCAUAUUGAUAGAUGGCAUUGACAUUCGAAAUGUACGGUUGGAAAGUUUAAGGAGACAUGUUGGUCUGGUCUCUCAAGACACAACACUUUUUGCGGGGACUAUUUCUGAGAACAUUGGGUAUAGGGAUCUAAUGACUGGUAUUGAUAUGAGAAAAGUUGAACUUGCAGCUCAAACUGCAAAUGCAGAUGAAUUCAUAAAAAAUCUUCCUGAGCAGUUUGAAACUAAUGUUGGUCCUAGGGGCUCAAAUUUUAGCGGAGGCCAGAAGCAAAGUGGAUCCAGGGGAAAGUCUAGGCAAUAGUACUUUGAAAUUUUCUCAAUGUUUAGAUGUCCCAACUUUGUAUAUCUCAGACUGGCUAUUGCAAGGGCACUGUGUCAGAACCCCACUAUCUUAAUUUUAGAUGAAGCGACUUCUGCGUUGGACAGCAGGUCAGAGCUAUUGGUGAGACAAGCUUUGCAACACCUAAUGCAGAACCGCACUGUGUUAGUCAUUGCCCACCGGUUGGAAACAGUUCUGAUGACCGAACGAGUUUUCCUUUUAAAUGAUGGGAAACUGCGGGAGGUUAGUCACUCCUCUCUUAUGGAUGAACUGCAUGGGUCACUGUCAUCGACAGAACUUGUAAUAUAACAUCUCAGAAGAGUCGAGUUUACAAGCACGAGAACAGAUCAUUGACCUCCAAGGACAUUUUCUUGCUGUUACCACCAAUCUCAGUAUUCAUUUUUUAGAUUCUGGUGUACAGUAAAAGAAUUAUGUACAAAAUUAUCCAUGUAACAAUCAUAAUUUUGCGUGUCAUGUUAUUUCUAAUAUUGAAACGGUCGAUAUUGUUGAUUAUUUGCAACUAUUAAUACCCUCAUUUGUGGUUCGCAGUAAUUGGUUUUGGAGGAAUUCUA
Molecule: RNA transcript, 2339 nt
Organism: Olea europaea var. sylvestris
Lineage: Eukaryota; Viridiplantae; Streptophyta; Magnoliopsida; Lamiales; Oleaceae
Gene name: ABC transporter B family member 29, chloroplastic
Exons: 10
Source: RefSeq, a predicted model, not a curated record